RNAcentral lists this ribosomal RNA (2444 nucleotides) under Salmonella enterica. Its description in RNAcentral is "partial 23S ribosomal RNA". The record is from RNAcentral. Lineage: Bacteria; Pseudomonadati; Pseudomonadota; Gammaproteobacteria; Enterobacterales; Enterobacteriaceae.
GGUGGGGUGACUGCGUACCUUUUGUAUAAUGGGUCAGCGACUUAUAUUCUGUAGCAAGGUUAACCGWAUAGGGGAGCCGGAGGGAAACCGAGUCUUAAYYGGGCGUUAAGUUGCAGGGUAUAGACCCGAAACCCGGUGAUCUAGCCAUGGGCAGGUUGAAGGUUGGGUAACACUAACUGGAGGACCGAACCGACUAAUGUUGAAAAAUUAGCGGAUGACCUGUGGCUGGGGGUGAAAGGCCAAUCAAACCGGGAGAUAGCUGGUUCUCCCCGAAAGCUAUUUAGGUAGCGCCUCGUGAAUUCAUCUCCGGGGGUAGAGCACUGUUUCGGCUAGGGGGCCAUCCCGGCUUACCAACCCGAUGCAAACUGCGAAUACCGGAGAAUGUUAUCACGGGAGACACACGGCGGGUGCUAACGUCCGUCGUGAAGAGGGAAACAACCCAGACCGCCAGCUAAGGUCCCAAAGUCAUGGUUAAGUGGGAAACGAUGUGGGAAGGCCCAGACAGCCAGGAUGUUGGCUUAGAAGCAGCCAUCAUUUAAAGAAAGCGUAAUAGCUCACUGGUCGAGUCGGCCUGCGCGGAAGAUGUAACGGGGCUAAACCAUGCACCGAAGCUGCGGCAGCGAACGUAUCACCCAAGACAACUUUACGGAGUUGACGAUUGACGGAGCGAAGCGACGUCAAAGCGUUCAUUAAAGUCGAGUUGGCUUAGGGAUACGUUCGUUGGGUAGGGGAGCGUUCUGUAAGCCUGUGAAGGUGUGUCGUGAGGCAUGCUGGAGGUAUCAGAAGUGCGAAUGCUGACAUAAGUAACGAUAAAGCGGGUGAAAAGCCCGCUCGCCGGAAGACCAAGGGUUCCUGUCCAACGUUAAUCGGGGCAGGGUGAGUCGACCCCUAAGGCGAGGCCGAAAGGCGUAGUCGAUGGGAAACGGGUUAAUAUUCCCGUACUUGGUGUUACUGCGAAGGGGGGACGGAGAAGGCUAUGUUGGCCGGGCGACGGUUGUCCCGGUUUAAGSGUGUAGGUGUGUGUUCCAGGUAAAUCCGGUUCACUUUAACACUGAGGCGUGACGACGAGGCACUACGGUGCUGAAGCAACAAAUGCCCUGCUUCCAGGAAAAGCCUCUAAGCAUCAGGUAACAYSAAAUCGUACCCCAAACCGACACAGGUGGUCAGGUAGAGAAUACCAAGGCGCUUGAGAGAACUCGGGUGAAGGAACUAGGCAAAAUGGUGCCGUAACUUCGGGAGAAGGCACGCUGACACGUAGGUGAAGUGAUUUACUCAUGGAGCUGAAGUCAGUCGAAGAUACCAGCUGGCUGCAACUGUUUAUUAAAAACACAGCACUGUGCAAACACGAAAGUGGACGUAUACGGUGUGACGCCUGCCCGGUGCCGGAAGGUUAAUUGAUGGGGUCAGCGYAAGCGAAGCUCCUGAUCGAAGCCCCGGUAAACGGCGGCCGUAACUAUAACGGUCCUAAGGUAGCGAAAUUCCUUGUCGGGUAAGUUCCGACCUGCACGAAUGGCGUAAUGAUGGCCAGGCUGUCUCCACCCGAGACUCAGUGAAAUUGAACUCGCUGUGAAGAUGCAGUGUACCCGCGGCAAGACGGAAAGACCCCGUGAACCUUUACUAUAGCUUGACACUGAACAUUGAGCCUUGAUGUGUAGGAUAGGUGGGAGGCUUUGAAGUGUGGACGCCAGUCUGCAUGGAGCCGACCUUGAAAUACCACCCUUUAAUGUUUGAUGUUCUAACGUGGACCCGUAAUCCGGGUUGCGGACAGUGUCUGGUGGGUAGUUUGACUGGGGCGGUCUCCUCCUAAAGAGUAACGGAGGAGCACGAAGGUUGGCUAAUCCUGGUCGGACAUCAGGAGGUUAGUGCAAUGGCAUAAGCCAGCUUGACUGCGAGCGUGACGGCGCGAGCAGGUGCGAAAGCAGGUCAUAGUGAUCCGGUGGUUCUGAAUGGAAGGGCCAUCGCUCAACGGAUAAAAGGUACUCCGGGGAUAACAGGCUGAUACCGCCCAAGAGUUCAUAUCGACGGCGGUGUUUGGCACCUCGAUGUCGGCUCAUCACAUCCUGGGGCUGAAGUAGGUCCCAAGGGUAUGGCUGUUCGCCAUUUAAAGUGGUACGCGAGCUGGGUUUAGAACGUCGUGAGACAGUUCGGUCCCUAUCUGCCGUGGGMGCUGGAGAACUGAGGGGGGCUGCUCCUAGUACGAGAGGACCGGAGUGGACGCAUCACUGGUGUUCGGGUUGUCAUGCCAAUGGCACUGCCCGGUAGCUAAAUGCGGAAGAGAUAAGUGCUGAAAGCAUCUAAGCACGAAACUUGCCCCGAGAUGAGUUCUCCCUGAGACUUWRRGUCUCCUGAAGGAACGUUGAAGACGACGACGUUGAUAGGCCGGGUGUGUAAGCGCAGCGAUGCGUUGAGCUAACCGGUACUAAUGAACCGUGAGGCUUAACCUU